Molecule: ribosomal RNA, 517 nt
Filed under: uncultured bacterium
Lineage: Bacteria
Description: bacterial SSU rRNA
Rfam family: Bacterial small subunit ribosomal RNA
Source: RNAcentral
GGCGGCAGGCCUAACACAUNCAAGUCGAGCGGUAGAGAGAAGCUGGCUUCUCUGGAGAGCGGCGGACGGGUGAGUAAUACCUAGGAUCUGCCUGAUAGNGGGGAUAACGUUCGGAAACGGACGCUAAUACCGCAUACGUUCUACGAGAGAAAGCAGGGGACCUUCGGGCCUUGCGCUAUCAGAUGAGCCUAGGUCGGAUUAGCUAGUUGGUGAGGUAAUGGCUCACCAAGGCUACGAUCCGUAACUGGUCUGAGAGGAUGAUCAGUCACGCUGGAACUGAGACACGGUCCAGACUCCUACGGGAGGCAGCAGUGGGGAAUAUUGGACAAUGGGCGAAAGCCUGAUCCAGCCAUGCCGCGUGUGUGAAGAAGGUCUUCGGAUUGUAAAGCACUUUAAGUUGGGAGGAAGGGCAGUUACCUAAUACGUGAUUGUCUUGACGUUACCGACAGAAUAAGCACCGGCUAACUCUGUGCCAGCAGCCGCGGUAAUACAGAGGGUGCAAGCGUUAAUCGGAAUU